This 453-nucleotide ribosomal RNA is filed under the name uncultured bacterium. RNAcentral describes it as "bacterial SSU rRNA". It matches the Rfam family "Bacterial small subunit ribosomal RNA", at positions 941 to 1385 of the family's 1533-position model. The record is from RNAcentral.
GGGGUCGACUCCGAUGCUCUAGAUUACGCGAAGAACCCUUACCUACUCUUGACAUCCAGAGAAGCCAGCGGAGACGCAGGUGUGCCUUCGGGAGCUCUGAGACAGGUGCUGCAUGGCUGUCGUCAGCUCGUGUUGUGAAAUGUUGGGUUAAGUCCCGCAACGAGCGCAACCCUUAUCCUUGUUUGCCAGCGAGUAAUGUCGGGAACUCCAGGGAGACUGCCGGUGAUAAACCGGAGGAAGGUGGGGACGACGUCAAGUCAUCAUGGCCCUUACGAGUAGGGCUACACACGUGCUACAAUGGCGCAUACAGAGGGCAGCCAACUUGCGAAAGUGAGCGAAUCCCAAAAAGUGCGUCGUAGUCCGGAUUGGAGUCUGCAACUCGACUCCAUGAAGUCGGAAUCGCUAGUAAUCGUAGAUCAGAAUGCUACGGUGAAUACGUUCCCGGGUCUUGUA